Molecule: ribosomal RNA, 559 nt
Filed under: uncultured Nitrosopumilales archaeon
Lineage: Archaea; Thermoproteati; Nitrososphaerota; Nitrososphaeria; Nitrosopumilales
Description: bacterial SSU rRNA
Rfam family: Archaeal small subunit ribosomal RNA
Source: RNAcentral
GGCCCUAUGGGGUGCAGCAGGCGAGAAAACUUUGCAAUGUGCGAAAGCACGACAAGGUUAAUCCGAGUGGUUUCUGCUAAAGGAACCUUUUGUCGGUCCUAGAAACACCGAUGAAUAAGGGGUGGGCAAGUUCUGGUGUCAGCCGCCGCGGUAAAACCAGCACCUCAAGUGGUCAGGAUGAUUAUUGGGCCUAAAGCAUCCGUAGCCGGCUCUGUAAGUUUUCGGUUAAAUCUGUACGCUCAACGUACAGGCUGCCGGGAAUACUGCAGAGCUAGGGAGUGGGAGAGGUAGACGGUACUCGGUAGGAAGGGGUAAAAUCCUUUGAUCUAUUGAUGACCACCUGUGGCGAAGGCGGUCUACCAGAACACGUCCGACGGUGAGGGAUGAAAGCUGGGGGAGCAAACCGGAUUAGAUACCCGGGUAGUCCCAGCUGUAAACUAUGCAAACUCAGUGAUGCAUUGACUUGUGGUCAAUGCAGUGCUGCAGGGAAGCCGUUAAGUUUGCCGCCUGGGAAGUACGUACGCAAGUAUGAAACUUAAAGGAAUUGGCGGGGGAGCAC